UGGUGCUUAUAUACAUCUCAAACUGUGCGACGGAACCGCGGGUUUAAAAGUUCACCGCUCACGAUCUGUGUACGGCGCAACGCUCGGACGUGACCGGAGUGCUCAUACUGUAGAAGAAGGAGAAGACGGAAGUGUCGAUGGCUACUGUAAACAUUACCGGAGAGAAACGCGCUGCUUUGGCAAUAUGUGCAAUUUUGUGUGCAGAAAGCCCUAAAAAGAAAAGGCGACGACGUAUUUGGAGAAAGACAUGGCUGAGGAAACAUGACUACUACGGUCUGCCAGUUUUACAGAAAGAACUUGAGAUGCGCUGCUGAGGUUUCUCAGUCAAACCCCUGCAAAUCCUCCUGCCGCCUUCACAUCAGCAGCACAACCCAGCACUGAAGAAGCAGCAUCAAUCGGUCCUCCUGUUGCUCCAGUAUACCCGGCUGACUGGCCACAUCCUUUAACUGAUAAGCUUGAUAGACACGUAGCUGUCGACUUGCUGAGGAAAACAAGAGAUUCCCUCACCAGUUACAGGGACACUGGAUUUUCUGAUGCACAGACAAUAGCCAAGGAGAUGUGUGAAGACAUGAAUGUGGAGGCUGAACUAGAAAUAAAACGAUUGAGAACCACAAAAACUCACUUUGGCUAUGAGUCUCCAGAUGAGCCCAUUCAAGAUGCACUACAAUAAAUGGAAACCACAUUUUUUAAUGUAGUCAUGUAUAAUGUACAGAAGUGUUAAACCCUAAGUACUGCUCUGACCCAGGACAGCCAGCAGGACAUUAAUGGCACAGAACUUACAAGGGAAAUGCAAAAUGUCCCACCAUUGCCAUCAACUAAUAUGACAAACAUGGAACUUUUAACCUUCUUGUAUGAGAAGAAGCUAACAGAAAUUUACCCCAACAUGUGAGUUGCUUUAAGAAUCUCUGCCACUCUUCCUGUUAUGGUGGCUGCUGCUGAAAGAAGCUUCUCCAAGCUUAAACUGAUUAAAACUUACCUGAGAUCCACUAUGAUGCAAGAACGUCUCAGUGGACUUUCCAUCAUAAGCAUUAAUCAUGUGGUCUCAAAUCAGUUGUCAUAUGAUGAUGUUGAAGAUGACUUUGCUUCAAGAAAGUCCAGGAGAGUAAAGCUGUAGUCAUCUGAGAGUAAGGAUGUGAGAAAAGUGGUGGCAUAUAGUUUUUGAAUUAAUUCAAGUCAAGGCAGACUAAAAUCACCACAAGAGCUAUUUGUAAGAUUAUAUUUACAUGUUAUUAUUUUUCUUUUAUUUAAAUCCUUGUAUUUUUUGUGCCUUCUCAUUUCUUUGAUUUCUUACUUUGCACAGUGCCAUAUUUAUGUUGUAUUUCGGUUAAUGUCACUUGUUUACACUUUUUUGGGAGUAUUUAUAUAUGUAAUACUUUAGCUAUUUAUAUUGUAUCGUUGAGUUCAUUUGUUUUAUUUCUUUAAUUAUUUUAAAGUUUUUUGAAUGUGAAUAUGGUUUUAUGUAAAUAAAAAAUGUCCAAGACAAAGCUUUUUAGUUUCUUGUGAGUAUAUGUACACUAGCAGACAUGCAAGUACUGUACAGUGAUGCAAGGGGGCGCCACCUAAAAUCUUGCCUAGGGCACCAAAUUGUU
This is a long non-coding RNA of Fundulus heteroclitus (mummichog), 1589 nucleotides long. RefSeq lists it as uncharacterized. Lineage: Eukaryota; Metazoa; Chordata; Actinopteri; Cyprinodontiformes; Fundulidae. The transcript is spliced from 3 exons. The record is from RefSeq and is a predicted model, not a curated record.